This 468-nucleotide ribosomal RNA is filed under the name uncultured bacterium. RNAcentral describes it as "partial 16S ribosomal RNA". It matches the Rfam family "Bacterial small subunit ribosomal RNA", at positions 28 to 507 of the family's 1533-position model. The record is from RNAcentral.
GACGAACGCUGGCGGCGUGCUUAACACAUGCAAGUCGAACGGAAAGGCCCUGCUUUUGUGGGGUGCUCGAGUGGCGAACGGGUGAGUAACACGUGAGUAACCUGCCCUUGCCUUUGGGAUAACUUCAGGAAACUGGGGCUAAUACCGGAUAGGAGCUCCUGCUGCAUGGUGGGGGUUGGAAAGUUUCGGCGGUUGGGGAUGGACUCGCGGCUUAUCAGCUUGUUGGUGGGGUAGUGGAUUACCAAGGCUUUGACGGGUAGCCGGCCUGAGAGGGUGACCGGCCACAUUGGGACUGAGAUACGGCCCAGACUCCUACGGGAGGCAGCAGUGGGGAAUAUUGCACAAUGGGCGGAAGCCUGAUGCAGCAACGCCGCGUGCGGGAUGACGGCCUUCGGGUUGUAAACCGCUUUCGCCUGUGACGAAGCGUGAGUGACGGUAAUGGGUAAAGAAGCACCGGCUAACUACGUG